CACGUAGGGGGCGAGCGUUGUCCGGAAUCACUGGGCGUAAAGGGCGUGUAGGCGGGAAGGAAAGUCAGAUGUGAAAUCCCUGGGCUCAACCCAGGAACUGCAUUUGAAACUCCCUUUCUUGAGUGUCGGAGAGGAAAGUGGAAUUCCUGGUGUAGAGGUGAAAUUCGUAGAUAUCAGGAGGAACACCGGUGGCGAAGGCGGCUUUCUGGACGACAACUGACGCUGAGACGCGAAAGCGUGGGGAGCAAACAGG
Molecule: ribosomal RNA, 253 nt
Filed under: uncultured bacterium
Lineage: Bacteria
Description: partial 16S ribosomal RNA
Rfam family: Bacterial small subunit ribosomal RNA
Source: RNAcentral